This 497-nucleotide ribosomal RNA is filed under the name uncultured bacterium. Its description in RNAcentral is "partial 16S ribosomal RNA". It matches the Rfam family "Bacterial small subunit ribosomal RNA", at positions 28 to 507 of the family's 1533-position model. The record is from RNAcentral.
GAUGAACGCUGGCGGCGUGCCUAAUACAUGCAAGUCGAGCGAACGGACGAGAAGCUUGCUUCUCUGAUGUUAGCGGCGGACGGGUGAGUAACACGUGGAUAACCUACCUAUAAGACUGGGAUAACUUCGGGAAACCGUAGCUAAUACCGGAUAAUAUUUUGAACCGCAUGGUUCAAAAGUGAAAGACGGUCUUGCUGUCACUUAUAGAUGGAUCCGCGCUGCAUUAGCUAGUUGGUAAGGUAACGGCUUACCAAGGCAACGAUGCAUAGCCGAACUGAGAGGGGGGUAGGCCACCUGGGAAGUGAAACAGCGACCAGGGUACUAAGGGACGGACCAGAAGGGAACCUGACGCAACGGGGGGAAACCUGGCGGAGCAAGCGGGAGGCAGAUGCAGAGGCGCUGCGAUCGGAAAAACCGGCUUCUAGGGGAGAACCAAUUUGGAAGGUAACGUGGCGUUAGUGACGGUAACGAAUAAAGAAGCCACGGCUAACUACGUG